RNAcentral lists this transfer RNA (77 nucleotides) under Armatimonadota bacterium. RNAcentral's name for it is "Armatimonadetes bacterium (groundwater metagenome) tRNA-Val". It matches the Rfam family "tRNA". Rfam says of the family: Transfer RNA (tRNA) molecules are approximately 80 nucleotides in length. Their secondary structure includes four short double-helical elements and three loops (D, anti-codon, and T loops). Lineage: Bacteria; Bacillati; Armatimonadota. The record is from RNAcentral.
GGGCGGUUAGCUCAGUUGGCUGGAGCGUCUGGUUUACACCCAGAAGGUCGCAAGUUCGAGCCUUGCACCGCCCACCA